AUGUCCAAAGCAUUCACCAAGUCCCUCCUCUUGUACAACAAGAUCCUCAUCCGGCGGCUCAAGUCUCUCAUCACCCGUGCGCCACCCGCGCCGGCGUCGGCCACCGAGAGGCUGCCACCCUCACACAAGCACGAGUCGUCGACGGCGCCGCUGGACGCGCUCCCGGCGCCAGGGACGACGGACGAUGACAACGAUAAUGGUGGCCGUGCUGGCGGCGGCACCAUCGUGUGCGAGGUGGAAGGCGGCCUGCUGAUGUCCUCCUCCACCUUCCCCUACUUCAUGCUCGUGGCCCUCGAGGCCGGCGGGCUUCUCCGCGGCCUCCUCCUGCUCCUGCUCUACCCUCUCCUCCGCCUCCUCACGGACGAGCUCGCCAUGAAGGCCAUGGUGAUGGUGACCUUCGCGGGGCUCCGGAAGGACGCGUUUGGCCGGCUGGGCAUGGCCGUCAUGCCCAAGCUGUUCCUGCAGGACGUGAGCGCCGAGGUGUUCCACGCGGCCACGUCUGCUCCAGUGACGUCAGGGGGCGCGCGGCGGCGAAGGCGCUGCGUCUGCGUGAGCAGCAUGCCGAGGGCGAUGGUGGAGCCGUUCUUGAAGGAGUACCUCGCCCUCGACGCCGUCGUCGCGCCGGAGCUGAGGGAGCUCGGAGGGUACUACCUGGGUCUCGUGGAGGAUGAAGGCGAGGUGGCGAGGAGGAUGGACGUGGAGGAGGUCAUUGGGGCCAAGGGCGGCGCCGUCGUCGGCAUUGGUGGACAGGGGUGCUCGUUUCAGCACAUCUUCCAAAAGUACUGCAAGGAGGUGUACGUGCCAACGGAGUCGACGCGGCGGCGGCGCGAGGCGCUGCACCCGCGGCGGUACCCGAAGCCCCUGGUUUUCCACGACGGCCGCACCGCUUUCCGGCCGACGCCCGCCGCCACGCUCGCCAUGUUCAUGUGGCUCCCGCUCGGUGCGCCGCUCGCCGUGCUCCGCACCGCCGUCUUCCUCCUGCUCCCUUUCUCCCUCUCGGUGCCGCUCCUCGCCAGCCUCGGCAUGCACAACCGCAUGAUCGCGUCCUCGUCGCCCUCUGCCGGGGACAAGAGCAAGAGCAACCUCUUCGCGUGCAACCACCGGUCGCUGCUGGACCCGCUGUGCGUGUCCGCGGCCGCCGGCCGGCGCGACCUCUCCGCAGCCACCUACAGCAUCAGCCGCCUGUCGGAGAUGCUCGCGCCGAUCCCCACGUUCCGCCUCACCCGCGACCGCGCCGCCGACCGCGCGGCCAUGCAGGCACAGCUCGCCCGCCGCGGGCUGGUGGUGUGCCCGGAGGGGACGACGUGCAGGGAGCCGUUCCUGCUGCGGUUCAGCCCGCUGUUCGCGGAGCUUGCCGCCGGCGGCGUGGACGUGGUGCCCGUGGCGCUGCACCUGGCGGUGGACAUGUUCCACGGCACGACGGCGCGGGGCAGGAAGAUGCUGGACCCUCUGUACCUGCUGAUGAACCCCGUGCCGUCCUACCUCGUGCAGUUCCUCGACCCCGUCGAGUGCGGCGGCCAGGAGGCGCGCGCGGUGGCGAACGAGGUGCAGCGCCGGGUUGCGGAGGCGCUCGGGUACGAGCGCACCGGGCUGACAAGGAGGGACAAGUACCUCAUCCUCGCCGGCAACGAAGGGGUCGUCGGCGCCGCCCAGGACGGCGGCACGAAGAAUUAG
RNAcentral lists this ribosomal RNA (1674 nucleotides) under Triticum aestivum (bread wheat). RNAcentral describes it as "partial small subunit ribosomal RNA". The record is from RNAcentral. Lineage: Eukaryota; Viridiplantae; Streptophyta; Magnoliopsida; Poales; Poaceae.